Pongo pygmaeus (Bornean orangutan) is the source of this 463-nucleotide long non-coding RNA. RefSeq lists it as uncharacterized. The record is from RefSeq and is a predicted model, not a curated record. The transcript is spliced from 3 exons. Lineage: Eukaryota; Metazoa; Chordata; Mammalia; Primates; Hominidae.
CCUUCAACAACCACCACCCUGAUCAGUCAGCAGCCAUCAAUGAGGCAAGGUCCACCAGAAACAGAAACAGACUAGGACUCUCCGAAAGCUCAGCUGAUUGUUAACAUUUUCUGGCAAUAAAGUAUUUUUAAUCCAGAUGGAGUUUCACUCUUGUUGCCCAGGCUGGAGUGCAAUGGCGUGAUCUCGGCUCACCGCAACCUCUGCCUCCCAGGUCUUGGAAAUGGCUAGAAUCUGUCCUGAACUCUUGGCAUCUUCUGAUACUCAACGAUGGAGCAUGGCGUGAACAUCAUCCUGCUGCCCUACACAAUAUUGUCUAGACUAUGGGUAGCUAAAAAAUCUAUUUGCAAUUAAUAAUAAAGAAAUAAAAACAAGGUUCUGAUUAAGUAUUCUGCAGUAUAUUUUCCUGGAAUAUUGGCUACUUAAAUGUUUUUCAUAUAAUUAUUAAAUAAAUAUUUAUUCCGAU